CAGCAGCCACGGGAAUACAGAGGGUGCAAGCGUUAAUCGGAAUUACUGGGCGUAAAGCGCGCGUAGGUGGUUUGUUAAGUUGGAUGUGAAAUCCCCGGGCUCAACCUGGGAACUGCAUCCAAAACUGGCAAGCUAGAGUAUGGUAGAGGGUGGUGGAAUUUCCUGUGUAGCGGUGAAAUGCGUAGAUAUAGGAAGGAACACCAGUGGCAAAGGCGACCACCUGGACUGAUACUGACACUGAGGUGCGAAAGCGUGGGGAGCAAACAGGAUUAGAUACCCCCGUAGUCCCUGUCUCUUAUAC
Molecule: ribosomal RNA, 301 nt
Filed under: uncultured bacterium
Lineage: Bacteria
Description: partial 16S ribosomal RNA
Rfam family: Bacterial small subunit ribosomal RNA
Source: RNAcentral